AUUGAACGCUGGCGGCAGGCCUAACACAUGCAAGUCGAGCGGAUGAAGGGAGCUUGCUCCUGGAUUCAGCGGCGGACGGGUGAGUAAUGCCUAGGAAUCUGCCUGGUAGUGGGGGAUAACGUCCGGAAACGGGCGCUAAUACCGCAUACGUCCUGAGGGAGAAAGUGGGGGAUCUUCGGACCUCACGCUAUCAGAUGAGCCUAGGUCGGAUUAGCUAGUUGGUGGGGUAAAGGCCUACCAAGGCGACGAUCCGUAACUGGUCUGAGAGGAUGAUCAGUCACACUGGAACUGAGACACGGUCCAGACUCCUACGGGAGGCAGCAGUGGGGAAUAUUGGACAAUGGGCGAAAGCCUGAUCCAGCCAUGCCGCGUGUGUGAAGAAGGUCUUCGGAUCGUAAAGCACUUUAAUUUGGGAGGAAGGGCAGUAAGUUAAUACCUUGCUGUUUUGACGUUACCAACAGAAUAAGCACCGGCUAACUUCGUG
RNAcentral lists this ribosomal RNA (484 nucleotides) under uncultured bacterium. RNAcentral's name for it is "partial 16S ribosomal RNA". It matches the Rfam family "Bacterial small subunit ribosomal RNA", at positions 30 to 507 of the family's 1533-position model. The record is from RNAcentral.